GGGAUCUUAGCUCAGCUGGGAGGGCAUCUGCCUUACAAGCAGAGGGUCAUAGGUUCGAGCCCUAUAGGUCCCA
This 73-nucleotide transfer RNA is filed under the name Coprococcus sp. AF16-22. Its description in RNAcentral is "tRNA-Val". It matches the Rfam family "tRNA". Rfam says of the family: Transfer RNA (tRNA) molecules are approximately 80 nucleotides in length. Lineage: Bacteria; Bacillati; Bacillota; Clostridia; Lachnospirales; Lachnospiraceae. The record is from RNAcentral.